GACGAACGCUGGCGGCGCGCCUAACACAUGCAAGUCGAACGAGCGAGAGAGAGCUUGCUUUCUCGAGCGAGUGGCGAACGGGUGAGUAACGCGUGAGGAACCUGCCUCAAAGAGGGGGACAACAGUUGGAAACGACUGCUAAUACCGCAUAAGCCCACGGGUCGGCAUCGACCAGAGGGAAAAGGAGCAAUCCGCUUUGAGAUGGCCUCGCGUCCGAUUAGCCAGUUGGUGAGGUAAUGGCCCACCAAGGCGACGAUCGGUAGCCGGACUGAGAGGUUGAACGGCCACAUUGGGACUGAGACACGGCCCAGACUCCUACGGGAGGCAGCAGUGGGGAAUAUUGCACAAUGGGGGAAACCCUGAUGCAGCGACGCCGCGUGGAGGAAGAAGGUCUUCGGAUUGUAAACUCCUGUUGUUGGGGAAGAUAAUGACGGUACCCAACAAGGAAGUGACGGCUAACUACGUG
Molecule: ribosomal RNA, 466 nt
Filed under: uncultured bacterium
Lineage: Bacteria
Description: partial 16S ribosomal RNA
Rfam family: Bacterial small subunit ribosomal RNA
Source: RNAcentral